CUUGGAAUAAAAGUAAUAAAUACAGGAUGGCAGAGACAAAAUAAAGCUUAAGAAGAGUGAUGGAAAGGUAGAAACAGACUUGGAAAAGAUAAAAAUGGCUUGCAUUAUGUGGUUACUUUUGACCUGAAUGAGCUGCAGAGAAUGCUACUCUCUCAGAUUUUGAAGAAGUUGGGAUCGUGCUUGCUUUUUACAUUUCAUUUUCUCCCUAUCACUGAAGAGCUGAACAAACAAGUCUACCGCCAAAAAGAAGGUGGUCUGCUGGAUUGACUGCAUUCAGUCUCCAUAGUUGUUUUAUGAGUACCAAGGUGGCAGAAGACGCUUCUCUGCUGAAUGCCGCUCCCACAGGACACUGAGCACUGAAGAGCUCCAAAGAAGGCAAAGCAGGCACAACAUGACAUUUUGAGCCCAAGCAAAAAGCAAAUCAGCAGGGUCUGUUGGUGACCAGAUGUUUAUGGAGUCAGGACAGCUAAAGCCUAUUGUACUGAAUCAGUUCAAUCAUUACUGUGGCCAAGCCCACCUUACAAUAUUUACUGCUCUCCCUCCUUCCCUUGGUAUCUGUAGGAGUAACAAACCUCCUACUUAUGUGAAAAUUUCCAAUAGAUCUUUUGACACUUAGCCCAGCUGGAUAAAAUGAGAUGUACUGCAUACUCUUCUGCAUUUUGUGAACUAGCAUCAUGGGCUGAAGAUCUCUGUAAAAGACAUUCAGAAAGGACUAACAAAGUACUAGUUCCCAAGCUGUGCGCAAUGUCCACCUUGCUAGAAAAUGAAUAUGAAAAGUUAAAAACUGAACCAGCACUCCCUUUAUAGGUUUCAGCUGAAGUAAAGUUAAAUGCUCUUGGCAGUUAUGCCUUCCUUGCUUGAGGACUCAUUCCGUAACACUUUGCAAAGCAGAAGAAAAAAUGGCUUCAUUACACAGCAAACAACUGAACACAGUAGCAGGUAAGACUACAGGCCUAGGAGUUCUCUCAAAGAAGGAAAGACAAAAUUGCUUAGCUCCCAUGGGUUUUAGUACAGGAAACCCAAGCAGCAAGGAAAAUAAAGAGAGACCAAGAGCAAUGUGGAAAGAA
Long non-coding RNA from Hemicordylus capensis (graceful crag lizard), 1067 nucleotides. RefSeq lists it as uncharacterized. The transcript has 5 exons. The record is from RefSeq and is a predicted model, not a curated record. Lineage: Eukaryota; Metazoa; Chordata; Lepidosauria; Squamata; Cordylidae.